GACGAAGGGGGCUAGCGUUGUUCGGAAUUACUGGGCGUAAAGCGCGUGUAGGCGGUUGUUCAAGUCAGGUGUGAAAGCCCUCGGCUCAACUGAGGAAGUGCACCCGAAACUGGCGAGCUUGAGUACGAAAGAGGAUCGCGGAAUUCCCGGUGUAGAGGUGAAAUUCGUAGAUAUUGGGAAGAACACCAGUGGCGAAGGCGACAUACUGGUCCGUUACUGACGCUGAGGCUCGAAAGCGUGGGGAGCAAACAGG
This 253-nucleotide ribosomal RNA is filed under the name uncultured bacterium. RNAcentral's name for it is "partial 16S ribosomal RNA". It matches the Rfam family "Bacterial small subunit ribosomal RNA", at positions 524 to 776 of the family's 1533-position model. The record is from RNAcentral.